GUCCUGAUAGCUCAGGCGGUAGAGCAUGAGACUCUUAAUCUCAGGGCUGUGGGUUCGAUCCCCACGUUGGGUA
This is a non-coding RNA of Podarcis raffonei (Aeolian wall lizard), 73 nucleotides long. The record is from the annotation of a RefSeq genome assembly. Lineage: Eukaryota; Metazoa; Chordata; Lepidosauria; Squamata; Lacertidae.